Long non-coding RNA from Numida meleagris (helmeted guineafowl), 1996 nucleotides. The record is from Ensembl. NCBI's taxonomy places the organism in Eukaryota, Metazoa, Chordata, Aves, Galliformes, Numididae.
CUUCCGUGAAGGAACACAGCAAUACUAUCUGAAGAACUAAUAGCAGGAGAAGAACUUCCCAGUGUAAAUUACCACAUGGCAUCAGCCUCCAGGCUAACAAAGCAUCUUCCUUCAUACUGAUGGAAUGGCCUGGAGAAGCUGGAGACUAUCUGUUAUGUUUCCUGUGGACGAACAGUUGCAGAAGCAUCUUUAAGAGAAAGAAUAUUCCUUCAGGAUAUGAGGAGGAAUUGACAAUACAAGUUACCUCUUUGAUUACGUUUUUAAUAUGGCUUCUUCUUAAAAGAGAAAUUUGAAGAACUUUAUUAUUGGAAAUCUCAUGACUGUGCGACGAGAGUACUAGAAUAUUGUCGAGAUUGGCAGGAGGCACCUAUGUCAUUAAUCAGAAACUUGCAGGAGCAAGCAUGGAGACAAGGGAAGGAGACCACCAGAAGUCGUGGCACUGCACAGCCUCCUGCUCAAAGCAGGCUCCACCACUCCCAGCCAGCUCAGUUAUGCCGUCUGCUGAAGUCAAAGGGAACUUCCUUGAGAUGCUACAGAAAACAUGGCAAUUGGUGCUGAUAGUGGUGACUAAAGUCUUCUGCAGUUCACGUGAACUUUCUGGGAUAUGCCUGACUGCUAUCAGGCAGCGUGAUGUGGGAGGAGCAGGCUGGCAGAGUGAGACUGACCUCGUGCUUCAGAGCUGCUGCUUAGGACAAGAUGUACAGAGCAUAUAGGGACCUCCAAGGGCACAUCUCCUGGGCCAGUUUCACCCCAAAAGAAGCAAGCUGGUGCCCAGAGGGGCUGCUCUUGACAGGCAAAUCAUGGGAUGGAAAGAGGCAGCACUCUCCUGACUUGCCUAAAACACUAACCUAAGAGGCAGUAAUGUCUUCAACUGAAAAGGCACUGAGCAAGGGGUCCAAGGGCAGAGGAGUCUUGUCCUGUGCCCAUGCCUGUGCCACCCCAUCCUGUGAGGCCCCCAGCUGCUCCGAGCUGCAGAGCCCAUCCUUGUAGUGCUGCCAAGAGAUAUCUCACCCCCAGUAAAAAAUGGCAUUUGCUUCUCAACUGCCUGUUUUCAUACGUGUGCAGCCUUCACCUUAUCUCUGAGGCAUUUUUUAAAUUCCUAGCAUUGUAGCAUUCUCCUUUGCUCUCCCAGGCAUUUCACAUAACCAUGUGCCUCCCUGCCAUGUGCUGUUAAGCAACUCUUUACUGUAUGUCUGAAGAAAAGUCUGGAACAACCUUAAUUUUCUAUUUAAAAAGCAGCUGCUGGUUUCAGCAAUUGUCCUGAGGAAUGCUUUAUAGUUGAUCUGUGUUGUGAUGUGUAAUGUUACCGAGGACAGGAUAAGCCAGUUUUGACGUCUUUGGAUAAUACUGUAUUGUGAGACAUUUCCACCUUUUCUUCUGUGGCAGAAAGAAAGUACAUGUCACUGGAGAAGGCAAGGCUUUCAAUUAAGUUCACUAAGUAUGUAUUUAAAUUUUAGGAUAGUAUCAGGUGUGCCUCAUGAAAUUGAAUAUUUAGGGUUUUUUGUUACAUGGUUCAAUUAAGGGAUUAGGAAAUAUUGACAUCAUUAAAACAGGCAAGAAAACAUUUAUUAGUCUGUCAAAAAGUAUUACAGACUCAGAUAAAUCCAUUGUAGCUCUGACCCAGAUACUGCUUUCUUGUAAUUCAGAGUGAUGGCAAGGACUGCGAAGCAAUGGAAGAGUUACAGAGACAGCUAGCUUGCUAGAGUGAAAGCACAGGCUGGCAUUUCUCCUUCAGAAAGAGAUGGGACAUGUACACACUGGGAAUUAUAUUCUUCAGUUACCCUUACCGUACAGAUGGGAUGUAUUACUAGACAACUUUGGAGAUUCCUUCUGAUGCUUUGAUUUUGUGAUUGCUCUAGUAAGGUCAACACAAACAUGCCAAAUCACAUCUGCUGAAAGUAGGGACCUGAAGUAUAAAAACUGAUGAUGGGUUAAAAUGCUUAUUCAAAAAUGUUUGGUAUAAAAUAAAAAUACUGAUGAAAGAACUUUUGCUGCA